UUUUUUUUUUUUUUGGCGGGGGGGGGCCCCCCCUGGGCGUUCUCAGGCCAGGGGGCAAAUCAAAGCUGCAGCUGCCAGCCUACACCACAGCUCACAGCAAUGCCAGAUCCCCAAGCCACUGAGCGAGGAUUGAACCUGCAUCCUCAUGGAUCCUAGUCAGGUUCAUUAUCACUGAGCCAUGACAGGAACUCCUGUGUCUAAUUUUUAAGUGUAGUAGUACUAAAUCAGUUUUUGAUGAUGGUGCUCUAUUAUUUUUAUGCAUAUUAGCAAAUGAACUAAAUGUUUAUUCUUUUUCAUUCUGGUCUCUAAUUUUGUAUUUUCUGUCAUUUUGCUAAUUUUUUUAACAUUUUGUUUGGAUUUAUUCUGUUCAAUUUCCUUGUACAUUAUGCCUCUUAUCAAUUCAGCCUAAUUUAAUAUUUACCCCGUACACUAUAUUUCAAGUUUGUUUUCAAUUGUUUGAUUUUUGUCUGACUCUUUUCCAAAUAUGCUUGUCAACCUUAUAAUUCCUUGUCUUUGCACAUUAUUUUUAUUUCCUACUUUCCCCUAUAUUGACUCAAACAUUUAAAAUGCAACUUCAAUAUCUAAAGUUCCUGUGACCUCUAAUAUCUUGUGACCCUUUAUCUUGGUAGCAUAGUUCCUUCUGUGCUUCAUAGCUUACAGUUUGGUUCUUACAUUUGGGAGCUCCCACACUUUGCAUGUCUCAAACCACUGUACAUACCUGUUUACUCCAGUGGACCUGGGACAAGACACUUUGCUGCCACCAGGGAGAGAGCACAGAGCACAGACUUUCACUUCUAUUACUCUUCUGAAUCUUCCUCCUGCCUCAUUCCUAUUUCUAGGAAAUUUGGACAUUUUCUUUUAUUUUAUGUAUAUAUUGUUUUUUGGCCACUCCCUUGGCAAAUGUUUAAGUUCCUGGGCCAGGGAUCAAACCUGAGCCACAGCAGGGACCACACUGGAUCCUUAACAACUAGGCCACCAGGGAACUGUAAAAUGCAAAUAUUUUAAUUUUAGCUCUAUUGGCCACUUUCAGGAUUUUUAUACAUUUUGAGACUUUCAGCUUGUCUGCAUUGAAAUAGCUAUUGGAAUAGAUACUUUCUCUCAAAACAUAGUCAUCCAUAUUGUUCACGAGUAAAUACUUCACCUAGACACUUUCUAGCAGACAAGAGUGUCUCAUGAGACAACUGAGUCUCUUGGACACCAACUCCAAUACGCCAUAUAAUAAAAAUGUUUAUAGUGUCAUUAUUUUCUUAGUAUUUAAAGGUGUUUUUAUGUUUUGAAUGUAUUUAUGAAUUUAUAAUCUUCCACUUUAGUGAAUAAUAACUUCCCAUGGCUAGGACAGAUGUUUUCCAAACCAUUAAGUUAGUAUUGGUAAAAGUUCUCUUUACUCUAGCUGUCAUAAUUCCUCCUUGGCACUUCAUUGACACAGUCUGAUUUUUAAUUUUAAUCCAACAGUUCUUUUAAAUGGCUGUAAGUAAAAUGUGUAUGUUGCUAAAUAUUACUUGUUGGUUGCAUAUUGAUCAAUAGUUUCCAUUGCCAUUUCAUGGUUCAAGAAAAUUUGACUUGUAGAAUUUCUGCUUUUAAGAACCAAAUGAAAUUUUUCAAGCCUAAAAGUUUUCUAUUUGAAAAACCUUCUCUGAAAACUGUUAUAAUUUACAUAAAUUUAUAUAAAUCUGUUGCAUUUCUAUACACUAACAAUGAAGUAUCAGGAAAAAAAUUAAGGAAACAACUCCACUUACCAUCAUAUAAAACAUGUAUGAAUAAAUUCACCUAAGGAAGCAAAAGAUCUGUACUCCAAAAACUGUAAGAAGCUGAUGACAGAAACUGAAGGUGAUACAAACAGAUGGAAAGGUAUACUGUGUUUUUCGAAUGGAGGAAUCAAUAUUUUUUAAAUGAUCAUACUACCCAAGGAAAUCUACACAUAAUGCAAUUCCUGCCUAAUUCCCAAUGGCAUUUUUUACAGAACUAGAAAAAAAUUUUUUAAUUUGUAUGGAAACACAAAAGACCCCAACUAGCCAAAACAAUCCUGAGAAAAAAAACUAGAGGACUCAUUCUCCUUGAGUUUUUACUAUACAACAAAGCUGCAGUAAUCAAAAAAUAUGGAACUGGCACAAAAACAGAGACACAGAGCCAUGGAACAGGAUAGAAGCCCAGCAAUGAACCCACACACUUAUGGCUAAUUAAUUUAUGACAAAGGAGGCAAGAAUAUACAAUGGAGAAAAGACAGUUUCUUCAAUAAGUGGUGCUGAGAUAACUGGACAGCUUCACAUAAAAGAAUGAAAUUAGAACACUCUCGAACACCAUAUACAAAAAAUAAACUUAAAGUGGGCUAAAGACCUAAAUGUAAGACUGGAUUCUGUAAAACUCCUAGGAAAAUAUGGGAAGAACAUUCUUUGACAUAAGUGGUGGCAGUAUUUUUUGGAUCUGUCUUCUAGAGUAAUGGAAACAAAAGGAAAAAUAAACAAAUGGAACCUAAUUAAACAUAAAAGUUUUGCACAGCAAAUGAAACUAUGAACAAAAAAAAAGACAACCUAUAGAAUGGGAUAAAGAUAACUGCAAAUGAUGCAACCAAUAAGGGAUUAAUUUCUAAAAUAUACAAAAGCUUAUACAGCUCAAUAUCAAAGAAACAACCUGAGAGUUCUCCUGUGGUGCAGUGGGUUAUGGAUCUGGCAUUAUCACUAAAGUGGCUUGGGUUACUGCCGUCCCUUGGGUUUGAUCCCUGGCCCAGAAACUUUCACAUGUUGCAGGUGCAGCCAAAAAAAAGAGGGAGGGGCAGGAGACCUAAAUAGGCAUUUCUCCAAAGAAGACAUACAGAUGGCCAACAGGUAUAUGAAAAGAUGUUCAACAAUGCUGAUUAUUAGAGAAACGCAAAUCAAAACUACGAGGUACCACUUUACGUCUGUCGGAAUGGAUAUCAUUAAUAAAUCUACAUAAUAACAGAUGCUAGAGAGGGUGUAGAGAAAAGGGAAUCCUCCUACACUAUUGGUGGGAAUGUGAAUUGGUACAGCCACUAUGGAGAACAGCAUGGAAGUUCCUACAAAAACAAAAACAUAACUACCAUAUGAUGUGCAAUCCCACUCCUCGGCAUACAUAUGGAGAAAACCAGAAGUCAGAAAUACAUAUCUACCUCAAUGCUCACUGUAGCACUAUUACCAAUAGCCAAGACAUGGAAGCAACCUAACUGUCCAUCAGAAGAUGAAUGGAUAAAGAAUAUGUAGUAUACACACACACACACACACACACACACACACACACACUGGAAUGUUACUCAGUCAUAAAAAAGAAUGAAAUAAUGCCAUUUGCAGCAACAUAGGUGUACCUAGAGAUUAUCAUACUAAGUAAAGUAAGUCAGAUAGAGAAAGACAAAUAUCAUAUGAUAUCACUUAUUUGUGGAGUCUAAAAAUGACACAAAGGAAUUUACAUACAAAACAGCAAUAGACUCACAGACCACAGAAAACAAACUUACCAUUACCAGAGGGAAAGGGGAGAUAAAUUAGGAGUUUGGGAUUAACAGACACACCCCACCAUAUAUAAAACAGAUAAACAAGAUCCUACUUAUAGCACAGGGAACUAUAUUCAAUAUCUUAUAAUAACCUAUAAUGGAAAAUAAUCUGAAAAAGAAUAACUGAAUCACUUUUCUAUAAAUGUGACAUAUUGUAAUUCAAUUAUACUUCAAUUAAAAAAAUCUUCUGGAGUUCCUGCUGUGGCUCAGCAGGUUAAGGACCCAACAUUGUCUCUGUGAGGACACAGGUUUGAUCUCUGGCCUCACUCAGGGGUUAAGGAUUUGGCAUUGCUGCAAGCUGUGGUGUGGAUCACGGAUGUGGCUCAGAUCUGGUGUAGCAGUGACUGCGGCACAGGCUGGCAGCUGCAGCUCUGAUUUGACCCCUAGUCUGGGAACUUCCAUAUGUUGCACAUGUGGCCAUUAAAAAAAAAAAAAAAAAA
RNAcentral lists this long non-coding RNA (3939 nucleotides) under Sus scrofa (pig). RNAcentral describes it as "lncRNA (ENSSSCG00035067747.1)". Lineage: Eukaryota; Metazoa; Chordata; Mammalia; Artiodactyla; Suidae. The record is from RNAcentral.